Long non-coding RNA from Ornithorhynchus anatinus (platypus), 855 nucleotides. RefSeq lists it as uncharacterized. The record is from RefSeq and is a predicted model, not a curated record. NCBI's taxonomy places the organism in Eukaryota, Metazoa, Chordata, Mammalia, Monotremata, Ornithorhynchidae. The transcript is spliced from 4 exons.
GGCACCCCAUCCCAAGCAAGAGUCCAGCAUUCACCUGAGGCCUGUGAGAAACCUUGGAGGAGAGCGACCAAGUGAGAAAGAAGGAUCCUGUCCUGUCCAAAAGGCUCUUCCUAAGUUGAGCACCGCAGUUCCAUCUUCUGGGCAUCUGUUUCCACUUGAUGACAUCAAAGGCUGACAGGGAUUUCUGUCACAUAACUAAAUUUGCUUGGCAGUGAUCACAGACAUCAAUUAUCCAGUGAAUGUUGGAGGAAGCCUGUGCCCCAGUAAUAUGAUAUAUGUGGUGGUUUCAGCAAAUGACAGGGGAUCAUUAGAAGCAACCGAGGAGCAUGGAGGGACUGAGAAGGACUGGGUAAACACAUGCAUAAAGCAAUAAUGAUAUAGAUCUUGACUAUUCGAGUGAAUAUCAUUAUUGAUCUCUCUGUAACUCACUGGAAGAUGGAAUAUGCACAACAAAGGGCAUGAAAAGUUAGAGAGAAAUAUCAUUGUAUUUUUCUCUUGCCUCUCUGGAUUUUGCUUACUUUCUCCGCUGAUAUCCAGUGCCUUUCAUAAAAAUAGGAAUGAGCUGUCAGAAGUCUGAAUUUCAUAUCCAGCACUUGCUCUUAGACCUGCCAGAAGGGAAACCAAGGGGGAGGCUUGCCAAAUGGAUAGAGAGGUGAAGAGAGACUCUCAAACCACCCAGGACAACAGCAACCUCUCCACUCCACGAAGACAUUGAUCAGUCCUUUUUUCCUUUCUUCCACCAUCAAUUUGGAAGUGGGGAGGCAGACAUUUUUGCAGCCAAUUCUCAAUUUUCCAUACCAAUGGAGAUCACAGGCAGUCAUCGAUAAAGUUACACAGUAAUCCAAAAACUCCAUU